UAGACGACUCCAAGAGGAAGCCUUACCAAGCAGAUCUGCAUAAGGACAUGAAGAAAACCUUCUCUUUUUUGUGUGUCCCAUGAUGAUUGAAAGAUUAGGGCUUUUGGGAGACGUUGCUGAGCACCUUUUCAACAGUGUGGUCCUGCUCAGCCUGAGAUCCAGCUGCGCAGAAGAUGUUCUUUCUCAGAUGCUCCAACCUCUGAUCUGGAGAGGAUUCUGGUGCUGGUCAGAAAGGAUGCAGAAAACCCUGUAGCCAGCAUUCCAAGCACACUGAGCUGUGAUGCUCUUUUAUCUCGCUGUUACUGCAAGUUUGAGCCUCUGCAUCCAGAUCUUGUAACUCUCCACCUGUUAGAGCUCACUCCAAAUGCAGGAUGAAACCAUCUCCAUGCAAGGUGAAACAAAGGUCUCUGAAGGACGGAAG
This 421-nucleotide long non-coding RNA is filed under the name Zonotrichia albicollis (white-throated sparrow). Its description in RNAcentral is "lncRNA (ENSZALG00000004187.1)". The record is from RNAcentral. Lineage: Eukaryota; Metazoa; Chordata; Aves; Passeriformes; Passerellidae.